Populus nigra (black poplar) is the source of this 2345-nucleotide long non-coding RNA. RefSeq lists it as uncharacterized. The transcript is spliced from 4 exons. NCBI's taxonomy places the organism in Eukaryota, Viridiplantae, Streptophyta, Magnoliopsida, Malpighiales, Salicaceae. The record is from RefSeq and is a predicted model, not a curated record.
CAUCUACCAAAGGUCCUCCGGAUAAAGCAACGCUGGCUAGGACACAAAACGACAGUACGUUUCAUCCAUUACAAAGCCAUACCCAGUUGAGUCACUGUAUAUGAAACUCCCGCCUCUGAGAUGGCGACUUCAACUUUAUCGACAAUCCAGUCCUCUCUUAAUCGCAAACGCCUUCGAUUACCACCGCCACCGCCACUUCCACUGCCACUGCCAAUCUCAAUUUCAUUUCAAUUCCACAAAAUCGUAAAAACUUCUGCGGCUACUCUUCCUUUGAAGCGAAAGCGUAUUUGAUUAAGGGAGGUCUUGCUUUGAAUCUGCAAAGAGCUGUAAACUGGGUACUAUUUUUAAAAAGAAAAGGAAAAAAAAGGGGGAGAAAAUUAAGCAUGUUUUACCUUUUUCUUUUUUCGGUCGUUUUUAUAUUACAUUUCAUUGCGGUACUUAUAAUUUAACUGAUAACUAUAGGUUGGAUUGAAUGGGAUCUCGUUGUGUAAAGAUCCUUACUCUCUAAGUGGUGAAUAUAAACGUCGGCUUGCCUUGGCUAUUCAACUGGCUCACUGGUAAUUGGUUCUGAGCCAAGGGUUCCAAUAGUGAGAAAGCCAUGAAAAAGAUCAGAGCUGAUGAUAGAUGUUUCAUCUCCAUUAUUCUCAUCCACUCCUUCAUUUUCAGAGAAAGUAUUCUCACAUUCCUCAUCUGGCUGUUUUAAGAGCCCGGGUCCAUAUCUGGAGUUAAAACUUGGCCCAGUGUAGGAAACAUGGUCAUCAAUGGGUGACUGUGCGGAAAGGCAAGUACAAUAGUUCCCUGAAACAUGGAAAAAGAAAAAGGAUACUUUAUGUGAGUUCUUAAGCAGGGCAUAUUACUUAUCCCUUUUAUCACAUUUUGCAUGGGCCAACUAGUGACUGAACAAUCUUCAGAUUUGUGAGGAUAGUGGUUUGAAGGGUCAUUGGUUUAUGUAACAACCUAGCAAUACUACUUGUUAUUUGUAUCACGAAGUGGCUGCAAUAUUUAUGCCAAUAUGCCCACUUUGAACCUUAUCCCUUGGGAGAGAGAUCCAUUUGCCGAGUGGCCAUAAAAGGCCUUAGCCAGUGGUGGAAAAUCUAAGAGGUGGGAUGUCCUGAAAUACCUGCACUGAGGCUUCACCCUUUUCUUUUUCCAUGAACACCCUAGAUGAUGGGCAGUUGUGUCUAGCUUUAUUGCAGACAGAGAUCAGCCGUUCCUGAGACCUAAGAAGAUUAGUGGUCUCAUCCAUUGUUGAAAAAUCUUCUAAGUUGAGAUGUUUCUGACAUGAUUGACCAUCUUUGUGAGACCAUCAAUCUUUGGGUUGGACCACUGUUUUUUAUCCUUUUCUUGAAGUGAGAAUCAGCUACUAAGAUUGGUGCUAGACGCUGAGUGUGGUAGAUUAAAUUACUUUUGUGAGUUUGGCUUAUUUAUGUGAUCAUAUCCUAUGUCUGAUGCACACCUAGUGGUCUUUUUAGAAGAAAAUGAACAAGGGUUGUUUGAAUACCUGUCAAAAAAUCCUUGAAUGGUUCGACAUUAGAUUUUUUGGACCGGUGGUGCAUCCAACCUAGUAUCUGCAACAAUGAAAUGCAAAGAUAGAGUUGAAAUCAUUAAUACGUGUGCUAUUCAAAAUUCAGGAAGUGUGCACUUACCCUCAUCUCGAACUUCUUCUGUGGGAUUCAAUGUUAGUUUUGCUUCAAUUGUCACAGGGGGGGCAAGAUGUAGGAAUAUAUUUAGAUAUGCAAGGGGAACAAAGCAUUAAAAAGAAAGGGAUGGGGAUCUUUAGAACGUGGUUGUUUAAUUAGUUGGAAGUAGUGGGUGCUAGGAGGAUCUUCUGAUGGAUGCGGAUAGAGAGAAACAUUUAGAUAGAUACAAGGUUUUGGUUGGCUGUUCUUUGUCAAGAUCAAAUCAAGCUAAAGAAUCAGGGAGAGUUGGGAGACCUGCAAGUUGGGGGGUGCAACAUUUGCUAUGCAUGCUUGAUGUGGUUGUAUGGGCAAAUGAAUGCAUGGACAUAAGACAUUGAUGGAAACAUUUUAUUUAGUUCUUUCAAAUGCAUGCAUUAUGUAUAUUAUGCAAAGAAUAAUAGUGCAUCAUUUGCUAAUGGACACUUACAGCGAGUAACACACUAACAUAAUCAAAUGCCAUUACAUAUUAAUAUUUCAUUUCAAGUUGUCGCAUGUUUGCUUUUAUUUUUCAAGGUGCUCGGCCUAAUGGAUGGUGGCAUUUCUAGCAGGACCAAAGAAAACUAUUGAGUUUUCUUCGCCGUUCCAUACCGGUUUGUCACUGUAGUUGAACUGGAACCGCCAGCAUGAUUCGGGCAUGAUUUCAAUACUUUCAGUUAGGGGUGAGCA